Molecule: non-coding RNA, 9938 nt
Organism: Sus scrofa (pig)
Lineage: Eukaryota; Metazoa; Chordata; Mammalia; Artiodactyla; Suidae
Source: RefSeq, a predicted model, not a curated record
UGAGAGGAGGAGGGAUAAAUUAGGUGGUUGGGAUUAACAUAUACACACUACUAUAUAUAAAAUAAGUAACAAGGACAUAUUGUACAGCACAGGAAAAUUUAUUCACUACUGUGCAGUAGCUUACAUGGGAAAAGAAUCUGGAAGGAAUGGAUUUGUGUAUAAAUGAUUCACUUUAUUGUACAUCUGGAACUUACACUACUUUGUAAGUCAACUAUACUCCAAUAAGGUUUUUUUUUAAAAAAAAAAAAGAAAAAAGAGUUAAGUGCAAUUGACUUUCCUCUUGCCAAAUACCUGAACACCUCUUCUGGAGACAGUCACACAAUGUACUACACUGGAAAGAAUAAGAAGCUGGGCUCUUGAACAAUCUUGGGCUAUUCCUUCAGUUGGGCACUUAUCAGUUAUCAAGUCUGGUACUCAAUGAUUUAUUUACUCUUAAACAACCUGAAGUGGUGUCUCUUCUUAAUUGCUGAGACCCCGUUUUGCACCCUAGUGCCAAAUAGUCCUCCUGAGACUACUGAGUAAAACAACAGGAAAAGUUCCAAUAACCAUCACAAUCCUUAAUAAAAUGCAGCUCUUAAAGUAGACGACCUUCUGGAACCAUCCCAAGUAGCCUGACACUCCGCUGUUUUCUUUAGGCACUUCGUGAACCCAUCAGUUACUGAAAUUAGGUACAUUUAAUAAAUGUUUCCCUCUGCUGGCUACUUGGACAGUAAGAGCAAUUUUAGGGACUCCUUAUGUGUGCCUUAAUCAGAUGAUUACCCUAAAACAGGAAGGAAUUAUUGUGCAUAAGAACUGUGCUGGGAGGAGAUGUUUUUAAUAGAAAUAACAUCUGAAGAAACUGUUUAGAUCCAGAAAACUGUAAAUAAAUGAACAGAACUUGCAACACAUUUUGUAUUUGAGAUAAGUGAUUCUAAACAAGAUGACUGGAUUUUACACAGUGCUCAAAUACAUGUUGUGAAACCCAGAUCAGACAUACUUGCCGAAACAUCUUAAAUUUAGAGUUAAGUAAUGACUGGCCAAAUAAAUACUCAGUGCACUACUAAAUAAAUUAAAUCUGGUCUCUCUAGGCUUACCUUUGUCUUCAUCACUAGCUACAUCAAUUCUUCUUUCUAUUUUCUGUCUUAUUUUAAAAUUUUGAUCACAGUACAAUCAGAGGUAAAUUUCCAUAUAUUAUUCAAAAAUAAACAUUUUCUUUUAUGUUAUACUGUAGUAAAUUUCCUUGCUUUAUGAAGAAAACUUGUUUCUCAAAAGGCAAUCAGUCACAAUAGAUAUGGUAUAAUGCCAAUCACCACUAGAAAUGUUCCCUCAGUUUUAUUCCUUUUUAUCUUCAGCAACAUGAAGAGCACAUAAAAACCUCUUAGAUGUUUACAGAAAUACUUACUAGGUGAAGAAACUUGCUGUUUGUCCCAGAUACCAUUAGCUUGUCCUACCUCAAUGAGCUGGGCCAGCUAGACCGACUCCUCAUUAUGUGGAUGUCUGGGAUAUUCAUUUCAUCAGCAGAUGGGGUCUCCCUAAAUCUAUGGACUCAUGCCUUUUGCUACUAAUUAUGCAGUUUUAACCCUAAAUUUGUUUGAAUCAUUUAAAAGCAGGAUAGUUCUAUUUUGUUAUCAAGACAGCAAUCCAGAGCUGUUCAACUCCACUAAAAGUGGUAUACAUUGAACUUGUAAUCCAAAGCACAAGAAAAUUUUAAUACUGUAUAACAUUGCUUAAGAUUUGUUGAGAGCCUAAUAAGUGUGAGUUUUUAGGUUGAAAGGGGACAUUUUUAAAAUCUUCAGAAACUUAUGAAAUAGGAAGUCCUAUUUACAGAUUGAUUCCCUGUAAGAGGAAAUUGAUUCUUACUAAGGUAAAAUAAGUUGCUCAACCUCAUAUAAUUAGAAAAGUAGCAAAAACAAGUGUUAGUCCUAGAAAUUUACACUCCAGAGUCUGCUUUUUUGAACUGCUAUCUAAACACCAGCUGGUAGGCUAGCUAUUGUUUCUUUUCUUUCUUUUUUAGUUUAUUUUGGGUUUUUUUGGCAACAAACAUGAUACAAUAGGAAUGCUUAUGACGAUAUCUUGAACAAACAAGAUAAAACUUUUCAAGUAAAAGAAAACAAUAGAUUAGACUAUAGAAUUUAAAUAUAUUUUUUAAUUAGGGCAUUUUAUUUUUUAAAAAGGAAUAAUCAUCUACUACACAGAAAUCAAUAAAUAUCUUUUGAGACUGCACAAUGAGUGAAGUGAUGUUUUUGGUCUGGGGAUACAUAGUAGUUAAUAAUACAAAAUAGCUUCAAAUUGCAUAGUUUUAGCAAAUAGUGAUUAGGACAAAUGAUAAAGGAUGAUGAUGAGUGUACAGAGAAGACAGAAGAGAAAUCUCCGGGAGGCUAAUAUCUGAGCUGAGAAAAUAGCCAGGGCACAAUGAAGGAGAGAAGGUUCCAAUCAGAAGGUAUAUCCUACACACAGACCUGACAUGGAUUUGGCCAGUUAGAGAUGGAAAGAUUUGCAAUAUUGUAGCAGAAUUAAAAAAGAGAAGACCAAGGAGGAUAAAGAGGAAGAGAGUGGAAAGAGGUCAUGAAUGGUAAGAAGUGCACAUUGUACUGUAGUUUAGGAAGAGAAUAUUACGCAUGGGGUUGAUCUGUAAUAGAUUGUCAAUGAUUUGGUAAGAUAUUUCUGAAACAGACAGCUCCUGCAGUUUACAAAUUCUAUAAAGGCAUAUAAACGAGGAAAACAGUAGGGAAGGAAGACCUUAACCUAUACAUUUAAAUAAUUACAUAUAACUCUAGCUAAGUCAUUCCUGAAUAGAGACUGAACAUUAGAGAAACAUGUAGUAAUCAAGGUAGAGACUGACAAAUAGAUAUUCAUAGUGCCAGACAUUUGUUUUGCUUCUACCAUUAACAUAUAUAUCUAAUUAGUUUAUAUAGGUGACUCAUUUAGAUUGAAAACUUCCUCACACUGAAAAUCUGAAGAAAUAAAAGGAGAUAAAUAAGAGUUUACAAUCUGGUUAGAUCAUACAAUUUCUUAUGGAACAAGCUGGUACUGAGAUUUAGUGAGGUUAAGGGUUAGAGAUGGGAUGAAGAAACUUCUUUAAAAUAAGCACUACAUUUAAAAAACAACUUGGAAGAAAAUUAUAUAUCUCUAUCUUAUCAUAUUUCAUAUUGUUUGAAUGAAAAAUACAUCAAACUUUGAGAUCAAAAUUUCUUUCUACUAAGGGAUCUGGAAGAAUUCUACUGGACUCUUCUAAGGGAACUGGUAGAGUUCAAAGUACUUUACUGAGGAAUGAUUAGGUUACUUAGGCAAAGAGAUAAGGGAACAUCCAUGGAAGUGACUCUUGGUCUGAAACUACCUGAGGGAAAUAUUGUGCAGAGGAGGCUAAUUAACCAUAACACUCUGGAAUCAUAAGAGUUUGUAUUAAGACAGUUGCCAUAAUUCCUGGUGCCUUAUCAGUGACAAGGAACCCCAGUAUCACCUGGAACAAGCGUGGAGGUUCUGUGGAAAGAAAGUGAGGGAGAAGAAGAGAUAUGUGGGUCUCCAGCCAUCUCUGAAGGAGAAAGUCAACUACCUAUUUCAUUAAAAUAUCUUGAAAUAUUUAGAUAUGUUAAACAUUUUAAAAUAACUAUAUAUUUAGAAUUUAUUUUCAUAUUAGAAUGCAAAAGAAUUUUGACACACGAAUUCUGAACCCAGCUUACUUGUAUGAAAAGAACAGGAUUCCCAAAUUUAAUAGGUACAACAUCAUCAAUAUCUUGUCAUAUUUAUAGUAUCACAUAUGGCAAAGCAUUUUUUUAAGUUCAUGACCUAGUUGAUUCUCAAAACAGCCCUAUGCUUCACCAAAACUAGUUGGUACUAUUUCUGUUUGAGAGACAAGAAUAUUAAGUCACAGAUAUGUGAGUUGGUAGCCAACUAGACCCAAUCUAUAAAUCAACUAAUUCCAAAUCCUGUGUCCUUUCUUUACAUAGCCAGCCCUGUGUUUCUCAAAGUGUGAUCCCUAGACCAGGAGGCUCAGCACUCACCUAGGAACUGGUUGGAAAUGUAAAUUUCAGGCCCUCCUCCACACCUAAUGAAUCAAAAAUUCUAUGAAUAGAGCCCAGCACACCUAACUAGUCCCCCACACCACCCUGGUGACUUGGAUGCCUACUGGUUCUGAAGCCACAGUACUAGACCAUAGUGAUUCCCCAGCUCAUGGGAGUCAUGUGAGGAAAACUUCCUGCAGGAGGAAAAGUACACAUUCAUUCUCCAUAUUUCCUUGAUAAUUCCAUUAUCCUCACAUGUGUCAGUAGAGGAUGAUCAGUCACACAGCUGUGGCCCAUAUACUCACACUACUAGCACCAACCUAUGAAUUACUUAAUGAAUCAUUUGCUACCUGAUUCUUCUUUGUAUUGAUUUGAUUUGUAAAGUGAGCUGGAAACCAAUCAUUUUCCUUAGAGUGAUCACCGCAAUAAAGGGUCAGAGCCUGUGGUCAUAUGGAUUUCAGGCCAAGGAAGAACAAUUUUUUUUUUUGUCUGAGUCAAAAGCCAGCACAUUGAAAGACCCUACUACAUAAAAUUUCUCCCUCAUAAUAUUUUUGUUUGUUUGUUUUACAUUAUAAUGCUAUUUUAAUUUUUACUUUCUCAAGAUUCUACUCAAUCAUUGGAACUCUGUAGAGGAAUAAAAUGGAAAUCUAAGCUAUAAUUUUAGUAUGGCCUUUCACUGGGAUUUUUAAAAUAAAAGCUCUAAAAGUAAAAUACUAUGUAACACUUUAGGAUGUCAUCAAUCAUAGCACAAAAUAAUUGUAACUAUUUUCUUAUAAAUCACUAUGUAAAUUAAAAAACCACUGCCAACCAAUGAAAUGCCAUCAAACAUGAGGCAUUCCAAUUAAGACAUACUAAAGUAUGAAAAAGUACAUCUUAGUAUCAGUAAAAUAUAGUACACAUUUUACUGUAUAGUUGUGGCUGGCAUCUUCUUUCAGAAUGCUUAUGUAUUUUCUUUUCAAAAGCAAUGCUCAUCCAGCUCCAGUUAUAGUCAUUUUGCCCUUUGAAGUUAAGCAGUAGUCAUCCUAGCCUAAGAACUGUUUCAUAACAUCAGUAACUAAGCACUGUAGAUGGAAAAUACCCUUCUACAGUUUGGUAUCUGAGUUGCUAUGUGGUGUAAGGAAUCAGGCGAUUGAGAAAAUGAAGGCAGGGUAAUAGUGGAACACAGAGCACUCAAUGAAUUAAUCCUGAAUAAAUGCCAGUCAUUUUAAAUAUAAAAUCAUCCCCAAAUUUAAGAUUUCUAAGUUUUCAUAUGCUGACAUUUCCCUUCUUAAUUAGCUACCUUACUUCUUUAUAUUGGCUGUUGGAUACAUAUAAGGAAGCAAUGUUGCAUAAGACAUUUACAAAUAUAAAUGUCCUGUAAAUCCACUUCACCCUGUCUUUGCAGGGGUCAAUGUACUUGCAUAAGAGCACAACAAAGAGACAUGCUGAAACACAGAAAUUCUGAGCUGAACUGAAGACUAAGUCCCUGACUAAUUCUUGCACAAGAUGCUCCAUGAAAAGUAGUGCACAGAGUCUGCAAACUGUGUUUGCUCCAAAGUUCAGUAAAGUGGAACAGAAUAACUCAUAGUGUGAGAGGCAAAUCAGUAAGUAAAGACAAACUCCUCUCUGCCAAAAAGUAAAAAGAGAGAGUGUGUAUAUGUAUCUGUGUUUGCAGUAAAGCCUAUGGACCUCUUCUCAGAAUGUUUUAAAAUGUAUACAAUAAGUACACAGAUAACAUAAUAAACUACAUUGAAAAUAACUAUGAAACAUGGAGGAAAGUCAUGGUAUAAUGCAUCUAAUUUCGUAUUACUGUAUCAAAAAAGUAUAUUGAGUGGAAGGUCUGAUAUAGACCAUCAUUUCAAAGUAAGUGAGAGUAACUGAUCACUGGAAAUAUUUACACAACAGUAAAGUGAUAUGAGAAUAGCUAUUAUUUCUACAGGUGACAAGGUCACCUGUUUUACUGAUAUAGCUAUGGUUUGUUACCUGUAUUUAUAAUGGGAGGAAAUACAUUCCUUAAUUCUUGUAGCUAAUAAGGAGCAAUAUUAGUAAAAAUAAUGUAAUUUUUUCCAUCUAAGUUCAUGAACCACAUGAUUUUUACCCCUGGAUUCCUAGGAGGUCUGUGGACUCAAAUCUAAGGAACUCUGAGUUAGACAUAUGCUCACUAUCCAUUCAUCUAACCCCAUUUCCACACUAUUACUCAAAUCUUCUGCAGGUUGUAAAAUUAGAUAACCAAGUAUGCUCAUUCCUUGAUGUAAAGAAUUAAGCAGCAUCUCAGUAAGGGCAGGAAGGUAGGUCUAUUUGUAAGUAGACCUUCUGCAUCUAUUUUUACAUUUGAAAAGUUCUUUUGUUUAUCUUCUGAGUCUUAGCUGUGUUUCAGAUAAUUCAAUUGCUAAAAAAGUAUCACUGGAUAAUUUAUUCUGCAUUAGCAUAUUAAUAAUGUCAAGAUCCAAGAACACCUCAAUAUACCAAGACAAACUGCACAGCUUUUAGGCAGGCAGGGCCUAAGAUAUUCUCAUCACAAAAUAAUGGUGCUUUUUUUUUUAAAUCAUUGUAAAGUAUUCCAUUUGUCCCAAAACUUAUUAUAAUGUGAGGAUGCAUAUGGAUAUGAAAAUGUGAGAUAUAGGUGCUUCUCUCUCUAACCUUUUAAUUAAAUGGACAUACACUUAUUAUUUACCUAGAAUCCUGCAUAGCUUCCCAAGACCUCUGACCAUUCUGACCAUUUUGUUCAAAUAAGUUAAAAAAAAUUCUUCUUGCAACAUUUGCCAGGUGUAUUUUGUAUUUAAAUACAUCAUCUAAAAUAUUAAGACUUUUCUUGAAUGUUUAGAGUUGUUGAUAACAAUAAAAUUCAAAACUAUUAAUUCACAAUGCUUAAUCAUGUAUUCCUUAUGCUGUAGUAUAAUUAUUUCCUUCAUCUCCCACUUUUUUUUUCUGAUUAAGAAACUUUACUACAAAAUUAGCAAGGAACAAAGUUGAGAUUCAUACAUAGAUAUUCUGACCCCAAAAUGAACUCUUCCACACUCUCCUAUAAUUUUUCCUGCUUAUUUCUGCUUUAUUAUUUAAAGGAUUCACUCCCGCAAACCUGUUUUUCUGAGCAGAUAGGAAAUGAGUUAUUUCCAUCAUCUAGAUUCUAGUGUUAAUACUCAAUGCUUUUGCCCAAGGCCCACUGUUGCAAGGAAAUCAUUACUUCUUGAUUUAAUAUUAUAUUAUAUUCAAUAAUAUUUCUAUUAAAGGAAAUAUUGGAUAAGUGAUUACUGUCAGAAACAUAGGUUUGUGUUAACUGAAAUACUAUAGGAGUUAUUAACGUGUGGCCUAAAGCCUAUAAAGAACUGACAGUGAUGGGGAUAGCAGUGCCCAAAACAAAAAUAAUCAUGAAAUUCUAAUUCAAGUAGCAUCAAAUAUACUGGAAUAAAGGGUCUGGCCUACUUUAAAACCAAGCAUGAGUUCAUUUUACCUUUACUCAUUAAAAAAUAAUAAAGUUAUUUAGACCAUGUGCCAGGCACUGGUCCAGCUUCUGAGGACACAGCAUAGAAGUAUACAAGAGAUGCUAACCUGAUGGUAGACAGAUGGGAGGAUACUUUAAAUAAUCAAUUCUAGACAAUAUUCUCCAGUUUCCACCCUAUUCUAAGAGAAAUGAGGGAAUUCAAGUUUAAGGUUGAUCCUUCAUGAAGUGGUAUUUAAUAGCUGUCUUUCAGACACUUCUUUUCUCCACACCUGUUUGCUGCAGCUUGAAAUUCUAUCACAAGAAGACAAAGCAUUGAUUCCACAAUUACAGAUAAAUAAUAAAAUAUGCAACUGCCGAAAAGAACCAUCACGCUCGCUGAAAUUUUCUCAUUUUUAAAAAGUAGAAUCAGGUAAUAAACAAAACACAAUGACUAUGAUCGAGUUCCCUACAAGUUUUGAUAAUGGGGAGAAAAUUAGAGAAUUUGGAUAGCUACCAAUAUUUUAAGGGAGGAGUAGAAUCAUCAGUGAGGGAAGAGCAAGAAAAAAAAAUGCACUUUGGCUCAUUCUGCCUUCAACUCUGUGGACAAGUGAAGUGUGUAGGCAGAGGACCAAGGGAACCACACAGCCCUGAAUGUACAUGGGGGAAAAUGCACAUACAAUCAUCACCGGCAGAUGAAGUAGUUCAACAUAGUCUCAUAAGCUUAAUGAAGUUGUUCCUUGGCACUUAUUUGCUGACUGCUUUAGCAGUCAACUUCUCAGAGACUUAUUUCUGGUGAACUGACCAAUUAAGGAAUUUUUGUCCUUCCUCAAAGAUAACUCAUAGCAAAGGAUGAAUUCAUUUUGACAGGUAUCUUCCCCGUAACAGUGUUUCUCCCUGACAUACAGGCAUUCACAUGGGGGAAAAUUAGAGGAUCAAUGAAAAGGACAACAACAUUCUAUCAAGAAAAAGAAGGUCACUUUGGAGGUGUGUCUUCCCUUUGAUGACUCUGGACUCUAUAAUCAACAGCAAACCACUUCACAAGAAAAAACUGUUAAUAAGCUGAAUCCCUGGAGGAAAAUUUUUUGGUUUUAAUUUUUUAAGCAGUACUUUUAAAGAUAUUAGAGUUUCAAAUAUGACAUUUCAUGAGUGUACAUUAUUAUUUUGCUACAUUAAUAUUAAUUAUAGUAUGCACUGUAUUUUUUAAAAACUAAAUCCUUGAUGAGAAUAAGGAAACAAUAUACAUAGCAUGUUUUAAAAGUUAGCAUAAUAGUGGGUCUAAUAUUAUUUAUUUACAAGUGUGUACAUAUAAUAUCACACAAUAUAUUAUAACUAGGAAAAUAUAUGUAUAUGCACACUAAAUAUAUUUGCACAUAUAUACAUAUAUGUAUAUAUCUAUUUUUAUAUGUAUUCCUACUCCAUAAAGUUAAUUUUUUAGAGUUUUAAACAUGUCAUUUAGUAAGUUUAUAUUGCUUUAGUACAUUAAAAUGCCCAUGUUAAUUUUAUUUUACUUAUUUACUUUUAAUUUUUUAAAAAUUGCCAAUGCUAAUUUUAGAACUCUGCUAUUUAAAAAGAGUAUUUUAAGAGAGCAAGGGACUUUCCUUGCUUAAGAUGUGUCAUAUAGCCAGUAAUAGUUGUGACUAAUUCAGUGGUAUUACUCAAUGUUUCUCUAAGUUGAGAGUUAGGAGAAAAAUGCUUUUCAACAGUAGCUCUUUGAGGCUUUGGGACAUUGUCAGUGAGUGUCAUGUUAUUACAUUUAUAUCAUUAUAAUCUUCCUAUUAAUGUAGAGUGAUGCGAGCUUCUUGGGCAAAAUCCUACACUCAAGGAUAGCAAGCUGGGCAAAUGUAUAAGAUUGCUAGUCUAUCAAAAUGGAUAAAGUGAUUCUUAUCUAACUACCAUAUAAAAACACAGUGGUAACAGAAUUAAGAGAUUUGCUUUUGUUGAACUCUAUUGAAAUUUGGUUCAGAGAAAUUAACACACCAGAAUUAGGAAACUCUAAGAUAUGGUUAGUUUAGCAUUUCUAGAAGUCAGAGUUAACAAUACAAUUUUAUUAAAAUGAACUUCCUUUUGUUUUGAAAUAUAAAGUGAAAUAAGUAUAUGUUUAUAAAAGUCCCUUCCCAGUCAUUAUUUUAUGAAAGUACAUAAAUACCAUGUAUUUUAAUAUGCCUAAAUGUGGCCAUAAUUUUGUAACGGUUUUCAAGAGAUAUCUUAUUAUGACCCCAAAUGUGGGUCCAGUAAAUUACAGAUGGUUUUAUUACGUCUUUAGUUUCAUAAGUAUUGCUAAAUCAGUUCUUCCAAAGUUGUAAAAGGUAGGGGCUGGAAAGGAGCAGUUGCUCUGCCACUAUCCAAUUGACAAAGGACCCAGUCUCAAAUAACCAAUGCUGAGCCCCAGCACUAAGGACUAGGAUCUUCAACAGGGAAAUGCACUGGAUACAUGAAUUCCCUCAUGAAAACUGCCUGUGGCUACCCAAGGAGAAGGCAUUUUUCCUUAUGGUUACAGUGGGCAUCUACAAAGAUGCUAGUUCCACAGCAGGCUUUACCUCUGACUCUCUUGUGCAGCC